RNAcentral lists this long non-coding RNA (201 nucleotides) under Mytilus galloprovincialis (Mediterranean mussel). The record is from RNAcentral. Lineage: Eukaryota; Metazoa; Mollusca; Bivalvia; Mytilida; Mytilidae.
UAUGGGAGGGGGUUCGGGCGUUGGAACUCCUGGAAACAUAUGGUUGGACCCUUCCCCUUUCUUCCUUUUGAAAAUGGCUGUAUCUGCCUUGUGUCUUGAUUUUAUAAUACUAAGUAACACAGGUAGUUAACACGUAGGUUUUUACAGAAGAACAACAAGUAAGGAACCGUAUUCAUGCUGAUUUUUUUUUUUGGUCCCGCG